ACGGCUCUUCAACACAUUUCAACAUGUUCAAGUGAUUUGUGCUAGUGGAUGAACGUUAUUAAUCUAUAGGUUUGGUUCUCGGGAGUUUUUCUUGGGAGUCGAGCCUUUUUUUCAUGCGGUUAUCCUUAAGCUUCACAAAUCACAGAUUAUCCCACGCAUUAAGAAAUAAGCUCAAGAUGCCUAGAAUAAGUUUUAUCCUGCCUUUUUUCGCUAACAAUGACUGAGUAUUUCCCACAGUCAAUAGUUUGAUAGUAGACGGGCAGAAAUUU
Molecule: small nucleolar RNA, 269 nt
Filed under: Saccharomyces arboricola H-6
Lineage: Eukaryota; Fungi; Ascomycota; Saccharomycetes; Saccharomycetales; Saccharomycetaceae
Source: RNAcentral